Non-coding RNA from Salmo salar (Atlantic salmon), 359 nucleotides. The record is from RefSeq and is a predicted model, not a curated record. Lineage: Eukaryota; Metazoa; Chordata; Actinopteri; Salmoniformes; Salmonidae.
UGUUGGUUAGAGAGAAGGGCAGGUUGGACACAUAGACUGUGCUUCUACUGGGAGCCAAACCACCACUCAUCUUGACUUCACCAUCAGAGUGAGACAGACACUGAAAACAGAUUCAUGCUGCCAAAAACAAAGGAGAACUGUUCGUCGUCACAGGAAUAUGACGUUUCACGUGACUGACUUUUUGUCAAUCCAAUCAAAAUUCAGUGUGUACAUGCGCCAACCGGAAGAAGGUGAGAAGUAGGUAAUGUUAGUAUUGACUGUCUCUAUUGGCAUUACCCACUCCCAAUACUACUACAUAGACUUGUCCAGACAAAACAAUGGCUUACAGGAGAGACCGAAACAUAAGGGAUGUCUAUGAG